CUUGGUCAUUUAGAGGAAGUAAAAGUCGUAACAAGGUUUCCGUAGGUGAACCUGCGGAAGGAUCAUUAUUGAAAUAAUCUCGAUGAGUUGCUGCUGGUUCUCUAGGGAGCAUGUGCACACUUGUUGUCUUUAUAUCUCCACCUGUGCACCUUUUGUAGACCUGGAUAUCCCUCUGACUGCUUGCAUUCAGGUUUGAGGAUUGACUUUCUGUCUCUCCUUACAUUUCCGGGUCUAUGUUUUCAUUUAACCCUUAUGUAUGUUAUAGAAUGUAAUAAAAUGGGCCUUUGUGCCUAUAAACCUUAUACAACUUUCAGCAACGGAUCUCUUGGCUCUCGCAUCGAUGAAGAACGCAGCGAAAUGCGAUAAGUAAUGUGAAUUGCAGAAUUCAGUGAAUCAUCGAAUCUUUGAACGCACCUUGCGCUCCUUGGUAUUCCGAGGAGCAUGCCUGUUUGAGUGUCAUUAAUAUAUCAACCUCUUCAGCUUUUGCUUGUCGAGUGUUUGGAUGUGGGGGUUCUUUUUUGCUGGCUUCUUGUUUAAAGUCAGCUCCCCUGAAAUGCAUUAGCGGAACAAUUUUUUGACCGUUCAUUGGUGUGAUAACUAUCUACGCUAUUGAUGUCAAGAAGUUCAGCUUCUAACAGUCCAUUGACUUGGACAAAUUUUUCAUUAAUGUGACCUCAAAUCAGGUAGGACUACCCGCUGAACUUAAGCAUAUCAAUAAGCGGAGGA
This 726-nucleotide ribosomal RNA is filed under the name Cortinarius sp. PDD 94011. RNAcentral describes it as "eukaryotic LSU rRNA". The stretch from base 306 to 459 matches the Rfam family "5.8S ribosomal RNA". The record is from RNAcentral. Lineage: Eukaryota; Fungi; Basidiomycota; Agaricomycetes; Agaricales; Cortinariaceae.